AAAUUAGCACAGCCAAGGGAACAGUCGAUUCUGUCCUUUCUUCUUAAUCCCUUGGCUUAGGGUUUCCCCGGCCUGGACAGCCUGUCCGAGGGGAAGGCUGCCCAAGGGCACACGGGCAUCCGUCCGGGGACAUUCAGGCAGUGACCAAUCCGCGGCUGCCCUGCUAUGUGCCCUGCACCGUGGGCCUUUUCCCAGCCGGCCGGUGAGGGAACAGCCACUGUGGGUCCCCGAGUCUUGACGAGAUGGUCAAGGAUGGACCGGUGAUGGAGACCGGCGUGCAGCCAUGUCUGUGGGUGAAGGAGGAUGCAGGUCAGAUGGAGGACAUCUUUGCUGUCCCCUCGGCCAAGCCAUGAAAAGCAACCCUCUCCCCCAAGCCCCCAGCACCAACCUGGAGACCAGCAUGGGCUGGAGCCCAGCAUGGCCACCAUCGCAUCUUGGCCAUCCAGCUCGGGACAGAUCGUUCCUCUUCUAGAGCUGCCCCUUCCAUCAGGACACCUGGGCCCCGGCCUCCUCUCCCAGGCCCUCUCUCUUCCAUUCUCACCAUCUGCCCCCUUCCCCAAAACUCCUCGCUAUCCCCUUGUCUUUGCUCUCUCCCAAUAUCCUUUCCCUUUCUAUAAAAGUCUGUUUUGUCCCUA
Cynocephalus volans (Philippine flying lemur) is the source of this 635-nucleotide long non-coding RNA. RefSeq lists it as uncharacterized. The transcript is spliced from 2 exons. NCBI's taxonomy places the organism in Eukaryota, Metazoa, Chordata, Mammalia, Dermoptera, Cynocephalidae. The record is from RefSeq and is a predicted model, not a curated record.